GACGAACGCUGGCGGCGUGCUUAACACAUGCAAGUCGAACGAAGUGGCGAACGGGUGAGUAACGCGUAAUCAACCUGCCCUUCAGAGGGGGACAACAGUUGGAACCGACUGCUAAUACCGCAUACUGAAGGAGGGGAUUGCGUCUGAUUAGCUAGUUGGAGGGGUAACGGCCGACCAAGGCGAUGAUCAGUAGCCGGGCUGAGAUGAUGAACUGCCAAAUUGGGAAUGGGGCACGGCCCAGACUCCUAAGGGAGGCAGCAGGGGGGAAUCUUCCGACAUGGAGGAAAGUCUGACGGAGCAACGCCGCGUGAGUGAUAACGGCCUUCGGGUUGGAAAGGUCUGUUAAUCGGGACGCGUUACCGGAAUAGAAAGCAACGGCUAACUACGUGCCAGCAGCCGCGGUAAUAC
Molecule: ribosomal RNA, 408 nt
Filed under: uncultured bacterium
Lineage: Bacteria
Description: partial 16S ribosomal RNA
Rfam family: Bacterial small subunit ribosomal RNA
Source: RNAcentral